CAAUAGCGUAUAUUAUUGAUGUUGCAGUUGAAACGUUCGUAGUCGAAUCUUAUCUGCCAAAGCAUUGUGUCAUUUAUGAUGACAUAAUGCUCUCGGCAGAGAUUGUACAAGCAUGUGUUUCACGUGUCUGACCUUGUAUCUUACUUUGAGUGAAUCGGCGUGUUCCACGCAGGCAUGUGCCUUGAACGAUUUACCAUAGCAUAAUCAGAGUAUGGAACUGCUUCCUUGUUUGUUCGGAAGCUCUUUCGAUACUGAUAGGAACGGUUGAGGGCAUUCGUAUUCGACUGCUAGAGGUGAAAUUCUUUGAUUAGUCGAGGACGAACCAUUGCGAAAGCAUCUGCCAAGGACGUUUCCUUUG
Molecule: ribosomal RNA, 358 nt
Filed under: uncultured eukaryote
Lineage: Eukaryota
Description: partial 18S ribosomal RNA
Rfam family: Eukaryotic small subunit ribosomal RNA
Source: RNAcentral